AAACUAUUUCCCAGAAAUUACAUACCCGAACACACAAUGCAUUUUACAUGCUUUAUUUCUGUCUUAUAGAAAUCAUGACUAUGGUUCCAGACAUGAUGAAGAAAAUCUGUUGGUAAUUAAGGGUCUUGUGGGCUGUAGCUGCUGUGAGUUUAAGGGAGGGAGAAACUUCAGCAUCUUAAACUGAGCUCUAGUUUGGCUGUGUUAUGCUGUGUUAAUCUGAUUUAUACUAAGUACAAAACUGCAAUGAUUGUUACAUCUAUCCAAUGCUGCUAUUUCAAAUGGAAGUAAAUUUGCUAAAGGUUUUAGACAAAUGGUACAGGCAUCCCUUUCAUAAUAUAUGCAAUAUAUUCCAGAUGUUGAGAGAGUACAGAAGAAGAGGCCUGCAUCACUUGCAGAUAAGUUUAUUGUUGUUAUCCAAAGCUCUGCAGGAUUAACGUGCAGAACUUCAUGCGACUUAUUCUGACACAUUCCAUUGUAUGGCAUUCCAUGCUUUGAAUCAUGUGAAUACUCUUUAAAACUGUAACUGGGGCAUGGAUUUCAGGUCAUAGCAGGUCCUUGUAUCGUCACAAGGACCUUGAUUAAAAAUACUGGUUUUCACAUUGAACUCAGUGCUGAUCUAUUGGCACGUUUGGUAGCUUUUGGCUACGUUGGUUGUAAAUAUCUGAAAUAACCAUACUGGAAAGUUAUUAACUUGUAAAGGCUGCCUUAACUUACAGAGAGUAUUGUGUCCUCCCACUGAAGUGUUGUGUGCUUUUCUCUAGCAACCCAAAGGACUGACAGAAGUCAUAACCAAAAGUGGAAUGGAGAGAGCAACCGCACGGAGCAUCUCUUUCAGCCCUAAUAAUACAAUGGCAAAGCCAGUACAACAGAAGCCAGCAAGCCAUGUUGUUAAAGAACCAUCAAUUUCUCCAGGAAGAGAAGAUGACAGAAAGGGAAGUCCCUAUGGGCAGUGGGUUCCUGUCAAGAAGGAGGCCAAAAAGUUCCUAAACUUCUCACCCAAAUGUACACUGUUCCGGGCGCGCUAGAAUAGCUCACUGUUCCUCAGACUGCAGUAUAAUAAUGCCUGGGUAGUGAGGUCUGAAGUUUUCUGGUCAGUUUGAAGGCUUGUUAACGUUGAGUAUUUAUUUCGAUAUCUUUAAUUUUGGAAUCUUAGGUUUCUCUUUCAGAUGUAAAGCACAGUGAUCCAGAAGCCACAGAUGGAAUCUUGUGUAUAUUUGUAAAUAUUUUUGUAUUGCUUUAAUGGACUAGAACUUAACAGGUGGGUAAUUUUUUUCUAAAGAAUAGUUCAGUAGCUGUUAAUUUGAACAGUUAAAUUACAUUGUGUAACUGUUUACUUCAAGUAAAUAAACUUCAGUUUUGCACUGGCAUCUGUGUGUCACGUAUUGGGCUUAUAUUUUUACCUCUUGAGUGGUGAUUUCCAGGUUUAAAUUCCACUUAGCUAGUAUCACAAAAUGUGGCAGAAGAUAAUUCUGAAGGUCACCUUGAAAAUAGACC
This 1494-nucleotide long non-coding RNA is filed under the name Gallus gallus (chicken). RNAcentral describes it as "long non-coding RNA NONGGAT005142". Lineage: Eukaryota; Metazoa; Chordata; Aves; Galliformes; Phasianidae. The record is from RNAcentral.